CCCGUGCGUGGCGGUGUCUCCUCGGCCGGCGGCGGGCGGGAGGGAAGGAGCGAGCGGUUGGUUUGUCGGGCUGGGCCACAGCCGUGUCGGCGAGAGCCUCGUAGCGAGUUGCCCCGCAGCCGGGACGAAAUGAGCCGUCAGACUGCUACAGCACUACCUACAGGUACUUCAAAGUGUACACCAUCACAGAGAGUGCCUGCUCUGACUGGCACUACAGCUUCCAACAAUGACUUGGCAAGUCUUUUUGAGUGUCCUGUGUGUUUUGACUAUGUGCUGCCACCUAUUCUUCAGUGUCAGAGUGGCCAUCUUGUUUGUAGCAACUGUCGCCCCAAGCUUACAUGCUGUCCAACUUGCCGAGGCCCACUGGGUUCCAUUCGUAACUUGGCUAUGGAAAAAGUUGCCAAUUCUGUACUGUUCCCAUGUAAAUACGCCUCUUCUGGAUGUGAGAUAACUUUGCCACACACAGAAAAAGCAGACCAUGAAGAGCUGUGUGAGUUUAGGCCUUAUUCAUGUCCAUGUCCUGGUGCUUCAUGUAAAUGGCAAGGUUCGCUGGAUGCUGUAAUGCCACAUUUGAUGCAUCAGCAUAAGUCAAUAACAACACUACAGGGAGAAGAUAUAGUUUUCCUUGCUACAGACAUUAAUCUUCCUGGGGCUGUUGACUGGGUUAUGAUGCAAUCUUGUUUUGGCUUUCAUUUCAUGUUAGUCUUGGAGAAACAGGAAAAAUAUGAUGGUCACCAGCAGUUCUUUGCUAUUGUACAGCUGAUAGGAACACGCAAGCAAGCUGAAAAUUUUGCUUAUCGACUUGAGCUUAAUGGUCAUAGGCGGCGAUUGACUUGGGAAGCAACUCCUCGAUCUAUUCAUGAGGGAAUUGCAACAGCCAUUAUGAAUAGUGACUGUCUAGUCUUUGACACCAGCAUUGCACAGCUCUUUGCAGAAAAUGGCAAUUUAGGCAUCAAUGUAACUAUUUCAAUGUGUUGAAAUGGCAAGCAAACAUUUUCAGGCCAGUGUUUAAAACAGUUGCAUUUAAUUUCGCAGAAACUAGGGUAACCAUCUUUGACUGCCAAACACAAACUAUUUGGUAGAGGGAGGCUAGACGUAUAUGAAGGUAAAUAAAAGGAAAGGCUGUUAAAUUGCAGGAAGCAGUUGCAUGUAGUAACACUAAUAUAUUUAAAAUAAGUCAACAGUAAACCACUGAAAAUAUAUAUACACCCAAAAUGGGCAUCUUUUGUAUUAAGAAUUGAUUCUACAGGAAAUGUUGUAAAAUAGUUCUGAAAACUUGUUUGUAGAUUGAUUGUACUGUUGAAAAGGAUACUGUUGUGUUUGUUUUUUUUUUCCUUUGACUGACAAGCCAUGUUGAGCAGUCUGGUCUCUUGCCGCUGCUUUUUCCCCUUAAGUCACUACAUAGUAUUGCUGCUGUUUUGUGUAUAUUUUUUGUGUAUUUGCUAAUUUUUAUUAACUUCUAGUUUUUCAUUAAAUAAAUGACUUUCUUUUCUGUAAUUCAGGUUUUCCUCCUUUUUGUACCUUUUAAAAAUUAAUUGCAGGUGUCAUCUUUUGAUAUGCAUAAUUGCUUAUGGUAAAACUUAUACUUCUGUACAUUUGGUAAAUUAGUCUUUCCCAGUAGUCCAUUCAUUGGUGAUACUGUUCUUAAUUCAGCUAUUUUGUGAAUGUAUUCAACUCUAAAGAAGCAAUUACAUUGGAAGAAUUAUCAGAAAAACGGCUCCUUUAAAACAGGCCUAGAUGAUGAUGUACUUUGUUAUACCUUCAAACAGAAGUGAGGAGUUAUUGGUUAACAUCCUAAUUAAAAAAACUGAAAAUGCAGGCACACUUUAAAAAUUUAGAAACUUCAGACACAAACUCAUGCUUGUAUUUUGGUUUUGCAGUACAAGGCAUUGUCUUAUGCAGUAUUUGUAACUAUAAAAACAGACCAUUUAAAAAAAAAAAGGCAGUCUCAGAAAACGAUGUUUUUGGUCUUUUAUAAUUUUGUCAUUAAAAGAAUACCUGGCAAAUGAAAAACUCUUGUUUUUUGCUUUAGCACAAUAUUUGACUAAUUUAACAUUUUAACUCAACUUUGCUUGUUCUGGUAUCCUUUGUCUGAUUGUUACUAGAGAGAACCAACUUUAUUUUCCUUAGUCAUACUAAUCUUGUAUGUCAUCCGACCAUGUUAGUGAUACGAUGAACAGUAGACAUCUAAAGGUCCAUGCAAUUCUCUUGCUUUUAAAGGCGUAAGUGGUAUAUUGGGGUCUUUUGCAGGUUGCUCGCAAGUUUGAGAAAUUCACCUUGAAUGUAUGUCCGUAUACAGCACUGAGAUGGUUAAUGUAAAAAAGAAAUAAUGUAAAAGAGAACUAUUACAUUUCAAACUACUUUAAAAGUAUCUCUUUGCCAAACUUGCUGUUGGGAGGAGUAGAAUGAAUAUUAGCUACUUUUUGUAUAACAUUAAAAUAUAAUUUAUUUACUAUAUAUUGUCUAACUUUCUUGUCAGAAACUGAUCUAUGUUAAGACAACUCAUUGAAUUAUUUUUGGUGCAGUGAUUACACAUUUUAGCCUGAUGGGAGCAUUCCAGUGCACUUCUGAGGGCUCUCACAUACCCAGGAAAUAACUGGAAUGAUGGACAUUCCUGUUCUGGAAGUUUACAGGUAAGGAGAAACUGUCAUAUUUGUCUUGAUGCAAUAAACAUCUUUAGCCUUGUUUUUUAAGGCUAUAUUCCAAAGCUUGUAUUGGGGGCCCUUGCUUGCUAUGACCAGGGAAGAUGAAGCCUUCUGAAGAAAGGGAUUUUAUACACCUCUACCCCGAUAUAACACAAAUUCGGAUAUAACAUAGUAAGGCAGUGCUCUGGGGCAGUGGGGCUGCACACGCUGGCGAAUCAAAGCAAGUUUGAUAUAACAUGGUUUCACCUAUAACGGUAAGAUUUUUUGGCUCCUGAGGACAGCGUUAUAUUGGGGUAGAGAUGUACCUUCUUUUAAUAUAAUUAAUGGAUCAGUUGUAAGAAUGCCACUGAACAACUGUAGGAUUAGUCCUAUGACCCACAGAAGGCUUAAUAGGUCUCCUUAUACACUGCAUAUACAGAAACCAGUUGAAGCAAAAUAUUUUAUAGUGUAUGCUUCAUUGUGAUUUCCCAUUAUGGUAUAGUUACCACCAUCCCUUCACAAAUUUUUCUAUAGCAGACCCCCAUUUGUCUUGAAGCCCACACCUUAUUACAGUUUUAUGAGCAGUGGUGGUAUAUUUCAAAACUAGUCAUUCAUUAGUAGAAUGAGCUUGCAAGAAGUGGUCAAACCUUUAUUAAUCUAAUACCAAACUGAAAAAUUUAAGUUACAAAAAUCAGCAUUACUACAAGAUUUUAAUCUUUCUUCGUGAACUAACAUAAGGAAAAUAACAUUCAGAGACAGAAUAUAAUCAUCUUCCCCAUAAUUUAAAACAUCUGUGUAGACUGAAGUUGGUAGCUUAAAUUUAUAGCCAUCACAUAAGAGGGUGGAAAAAUACAUGAGGUUAAGAGACUAAUAUGAUUCUUUACGAAGGGUAAAGGAAACUAGAAUUUGACAAUUAAGGGUAUGCUUUUUCUAUACUCUUGUUCUGAAAUGUUUAUACUACCACUACUAUUUGAAUUUUGGAGCUUUAAAACACCAAAUCAAAAUGUUCCCUUUUUUCAUUUGAGCAUCCAGCUUUUCCACAAGUGAGACUUAAGGAGUCUUUCUUUGUAUAAGCCUGACCUUUGCCUCUCCCUUCUACAUUUCCCCCCCAUGCAAAAAAACCUACCUUUUUAAAAACUCAUCUGAUUUGUCAAAUUUCUCAUGACUGCUGCUCUGCCAGAAGAGCAUGGUUUUAGAGAUUCCAGGAGAGAAUGAAGUCAAAUACUAAACCGUUGGGAGGAAAAAAAUUAAGAAUCAUCUUUGCAUAUUUUAAGAAUCCUCUUCCAAAACUUCACAUUAAUUAAGAGGCCAUAAUUUCCAGUGGGGACUCACCCUACUCUCCAUUAGCAGGUACACAAUUUUGAAGGUGUGAAUAGGUAUUAGUGCAGGGGUGGGCAAAUUUUUUGGCCCGAGGGCCACAUUGGGGUAUGGAAAUUGUAUGGCGGACCAUGAAUGCUCAUGAAAUUGGGGGUAGGGGUGGAGCCAGAAAUGAGUUCAGGGUGUAGGAGGGGGAUCAGGGCUGGGGCAGAUGUGUGAGGGCUCUGGCAGGGGGUGCAGGGUUUAGGAGGGUGCUCUGCUGCACUGGGUGGCUUUAAUAACUUAAUCCUUAUUUUAUUCUUAAAGAUAACUCUCAAACAUUUAUUAUACCUUAUGACAUUCCUGUGAGAGAGAAUCAUAACUCUAUUUUUCAGAUGGGAAAAUAGGUUCAGAUGUUUAAUCUGCUCAACUGUCCCGCCAUGCAGUGGCAAAGCCAGGCUUAGAACCUUAUGCGUAACGUGCUAGACGACACUUCUCAUGCAGAUAUCAUUUAACCAUUAAAAUGGGGAUAAGACAUGCUUCACAGAAGUGAUUAAUCAAUAUUUGUAUGUCUUUUCCAAUAUGCUAUAUACUCUCCCACAAGUCUUCACUUUUCCUGACCCGAUUUGGUCGCCUAUCUUUUUUUCCUGUUGUGAAGGAGUAGUUUUGGUGGCAUUCACUGGGUGAAUAUUUGUGCAUUUGACUAACUCUGGUUCAUGAAAUCUUGUAUUUUAUUCCACAAACAAACUCCAUUUCAUUUAUCACAAAUAUGUGUAUUAAAUAUUUGUGCCGAUUAAGGUGAGAUGGGUCUUAAGUCAAAUUUUAACCACUGUUCCCCCAUACCUGAAAUUUUACCUAUUGGAAAGUUUUAGGGUGAGGUCCACAAAUGCAUAUCAUAUCACACAUUUCCUAGCUUUUUGCAUGUUAACAGUUUGGUCUAGAAACUCUAAAUAUCAUCUGGGUGUGUUAAAAAAAUACAGCACUGACCAUUAAGAUUAGGUGCUUAAAAAGUCCUUGAGCCAAAAACGAACAAAAUAGGGAAUAUAGGACACUGGCAAUGGUAUUUGAGAACAAUGAAGGUGGUUAUGGUGACUUAUGCUUUACAUUUCUUUUAAAUGUAACAACUCUGAAAUUCUAAUAUUUUAACAAAUGUAUUUUUGCAAGGUUUUUAGACAAAACAUUAAUGCACUUCAACUUUUUUUUUGCUGGGGAAGUAAGCAAUAUUCACUGAUAGCUCAGCUGAAAAAUUAAGUGCAUUUAUUUUAAUUACAUGAAGUUUUAUAUAACACAUCCGUUGCCUAAUCACUAGAGCUAUCAUUAAACCCGUCUGUAUACAGUAGUAACAAAACUAGAGCAUCAGAGACAUUAGGAUCUAGAGCAAAAGUGUUUAACUGGGUUAGGUGCUUUUUUGAAAAAUAUAUCCCUAAUCUUGGUUUCUGCUUGGGUGUGCAAGCAGGUAUGUGUACUCUCCUCCAUUAAUGACUGACAUGCUGCUGAUAGAACUGGCAUAUGUAAAACUUGUUUGGUAAAGUUGCAGGUGCACUUUUCUAUUAUUAAUAGUCAAGUAGAACUGGGGUUGAGGCCCCACUGAAAGUAAGGCCUUAACUUUUAAUGGGUGACACAGCACAUCACAGUGAGGCCUCAGUAUUUGCCCUCAUGUUUUAUAUCACCGUAGAUCAAAUUUUUACUAUCUGACAGUUGAAUGAGUGUUUAAUGUUGAUGUACAGGAUACCUCACCCAAUCCGCUUAAAGUUUACUAUUCAAGCGCUCAAGUCCAGUCUUGAUUGAAAAUCCCCCAUCGAAAGCUGCAUUCAGAACUUCAUCCAGGCAGCUUGCCGUAACAAAAUUCAAGUCCUGCCGCACAUUCACUGCAAUCUCUUCAAGGUCUUUUUCAUUUCUUUGAGGAAUGAUAAUUCUCUUCAGUCCAGCUCUAUGGGCUGCUAGGACUUUGUCCUUAAUUCCCCCAACCUAUUAAAACCACACAAUUUAAAAAGAAAAGUUAUUUAGUUAUGAUGCUUUCAGCAAAGCAGUCACAAGAGGCAUUUUGAAUUAAAUAUUAAGUGAACAAGACAGGAUUCCAGAUGUACAUCCAUAAUUCAUCAUACUGAGAGCUUAAACUGCAGGGACAUAUUUUUAAUGGAAUGUUUUUCUCCUAAAUCACUUUUUAGGAGAAGGUAAAUUUGAAAGUGUUGGCAAUCAUUUUAGCUCCUACGGGUAAGGCAAACGCAUUUAUUAGUCUUAAACUGCUAGAAUGGGAAAUAUAACAUGAUUAUUGUAAAAGAUUUCAGCUACAUAGCUGCAAGAAUCUCAAACAUGAGAUCUUACUUAUAUCCUUGCACCCAUCAACAUAGGAAAAACACUUCUAAAAAGGCAUCUGUCGCCCUUAUGAUUCCCAUUUUAAGGUAACACAAGGCUGGACUCUGCCCUGCUGGACCCUCCAGUCUCUGGCUCUUCUUUUCUAUACAUGGUAAAGCACUGUGUAUCUUAGUAGCAUUAACAACGGAAAGAAAGGCCACUGUUUGUUUCAGGUGUAUCUGCCUCCCUCUACAGCUUACUUAGGGCUUGUCUACAUGACAAGUUAGUGUGCGCCAUGUAGACAAGCCUUUAUUUUAAAAAUUAUCCUUGUUCAAAAGCAAAAAAAAAAAAAACCUGCCAAAAAAUGCUUAUGCAGACAGCUAUGCUUUUCAAGCAGUUGAAAAUACAUACUGUAGCAUAUCCAAACUACAGCCAAGCAUCCACUAUCGCUAUAACUGUGAAUCUCUACACUUAGGGACAAAAUAUGUAGCCUCUCUCUAUGUUUAAUGCAGUUCAUGUGCAUGUAAUCUUAGGAAUUUGUAUAUACAGUUAAUGUAUGCAAUUGUCAGUCUUUCCUUCCAUAACUGCAAACAUAAGGACUUGACAAAUAACUUUUCUGAAAUGCUCAAAAUUUGUUAGUUGAAGUUGUUACUGGAAUUAAGAAGCCAGAUCCUCAGCCUCUGUAAAUUGCUGUAGUUCUGUUGAUGUCAAUGAGUUACUUUAACUAACUUAUAGCAGUUAAGGAUGAGGCAUUAAAGAGCAUUCCUUGGAUACAAAUCAAUGGGUUUUAACAGGCCAUUCUUUGCUUAGGAAAAAGUAUUCCAGAUGGGAAAGUGAACACAAAGAAUGGACUUAGGUUGGCAAUCUUAUAAAUCCUAAACUAAUGCAAGUCCUUGAGAAGGAGAUGGGAGAGCUUCCUUUUGCUAUGAUGAAGCAGAGUUAGGAGAGUGUAAAAUUAGUAUUCUGUAUUUUUAAUACCAAAAUUGAAAACCAAACAAUCCUGCUUUUCACACAAUAAAAACAGGGUCCAAUCUUGCUAACACUCACUAUCUGCCAUAAGGCAUCCUACUAUGUGAAGUCCUUUUGAAUUCAAUGGGAUGCUCAUGUGAGUGUCAGCAGGAUUCUGGACCCUCAAGAAUCAGUUUUCAGAAAGGACAGAGUCAUUUCUCAAAAACAGUUAAUAGGGGCAUGUGUUUGCAGUCUGCACUUAAGAAUGACCUGGCCAAAAAAACAGUUAUGCUGUGCCUGAUGUCUCGUUAUUUAAGGUGCAACAACCCUACUCAAUUUGGUAAUCUGAAUUAAGCCUACUAUGAUGACAUAUCUGAAUUACUGCAACACCCUCUUCUCGAGUGCAAGCCUUAACAAAUGCAGUCAUAUCCACUCAGAAUGGUGCUAUAAAGAUCAUUCUCCUAGCCUGUCACAUGUCCAACAAACCUAAGUGGCUUGUCUUCACUUUCAAAGCCAUUCACAACAUGUCCCCACCCUAUUACCUCUUCUGAGAUGUCAACUCCUAGUUAUGAUCAGCCCAUGAUGCCAGCCUCCAUUGCCUACUUGUUUUGUGCCUUUUUUGAUGCUGCCCCUCAUGCUUGGAGGUGCUCUCCCUAAAUAGCUACAAAUCUACUCCACUCAUUCAGAUCCCUCUAGCUCCCUGAUACCUACAAAACAUAACCAUGAUUAGGCUGCUUGUGUGCUGAGACUACAACCUCUCAUGCUGACCAAUAUUGCCUCAUUAUUUCCUUGAAUUCCCAUUGGUCUGUCCGUAUCCACCUGUUUUUUGUCUUAUGGUUAGAUUGUAAGAUCUUUGGAGCAGCAAAUGUCUUUUUGUUCUGUUUGUACAGUGGGGACUAGAGCUCCAAAGUGCUAUGAUAAUACAAAAAAACCCAAAACCCCAUAAUGGAUGUUUUUGCACUGCCCUCCUAAUGGCAUGGUUUAAGGUCAUUUUUAAAUUGUGGAAAAUACUGUUCUCACGUUGAGCAGUACAGAUCUAUAACUAAAUUACAGCCAACUUACCUUCAUUCUUUAUGUUCAUAAAGAGCUUAGGGCUUGACUAAAGCCAGAUUUUAUCUACACUGUACUCAACACUAUGGGGGAAGAAAAACAUUUGUGGUUUAGGUUGAACUUCUGCCCAUAGCACAUCUGUGAUGCCUACAUAUGCUAAUUGUACAAAUCAAAUGUAUGCUAUUAUCACCGGAGUCUAAUCCCCUCUCCAUGGACUACAAUAAUAAAAAUACCCUGUCAAUACCAAUAAUUUGAUUUUUUUUUUCAUGAACUAAUGCUUUUUCAUUUGCAACACACAUGUAGGAAAUGUAAAUGGAUAUUAUGAAUUUUAGGAAUUAUUAGAAAAGGAAAUUUGUACUUGUAAAAAUAAUAAAUUGAAGUUAUAUGUUCCACUGAAAAUAUCACCCAUAUACUAACAACUUUUGCAUGCAAAUUGCAUAAAAUCAAGUAACUUUCAUAGUGUACAUCUGGAUGUGAAUUAGGACUUUUCUAUGCAUCUGUGCUAAUUAUACUGAAAGACAAUGCAGGGCUGUCCAGGAAUGAACUGUAGCAAGAUUACAAGGUUUACACCUGGGUAAGUAGCUUUGAAGAAGAUUACUAAUUCAUCUUACAGAGGGGGCAUUAAGAGGAAAAAACCCACAGUGCUAUCUUAAUAUAGGUUAACUUUUCCAAAUGAGACUUACUGGAAGAACGAGGCCUCUUAGUGUAAUUUCUCCAGUCAUUGCUACAUCUGAACGCACCAGUCGCCCACUGAAAAGUGAGGCAAGACAGGUUACUAUGGUAACUCCAGCAGAUGGUCCAUCUUUUGUGACGGCUCCAGCUGGGAAGUGCAGAUGGAUGUCGGUGUUGUCAAGGAGAUCAAAACUUCCAGAAGCUUAAAGAAAAGAGAAUGGUUUUGAAUGUGGAAAAUUCAAACCUGUGUUGUCCCUGGUCUUUGUUCUAAAAACGCCACUGGAGAACUAGAAUUUUUCGCAAAUGCAUUAUUUGAGAACAGUACACUUAAAAAUUAAAAAAAAAAAAAAAAAAAAAA
Non-coding RNA from Chrysemys picta bellii (western painted turtle), 9243 nucleotides. The record is from RefSeq and is a predicted model, not a curated record. Lineage: Eukaryota; Metazoa; Chordata; Testudines; Emydidae.